This is a long non-coding RNA of Eleginops maclovinus (Patagonian blennie), 666 nucleotides long. RefSeq lists it as uncharacterized. The record is from RefSeq and is a predicted model, not a curated record. NCBI's taxonomy places the organism in Eukaryota, Metazoa, Chordata, Actinopteri, Perciformes, Eleginopidae. The transcript has 4 exons.
GGCAGGUUUUCAUCAUGUAACAGCCCUUUGUUUCUUGUGACUAAAGACAUCUUUCAAGAAGGCUACAUAACUUGUACUGCAAGGGACCCAAUAAUAAAGAAAGCAAAAGAACCCUUCAUGCAAUAUCCCGGGGGAAAUAAUGGCAAAGAGAGCGGGAUGCAGCCUCUGGGAUUGACUGUUAAAUUAACGGGAGACACAGCAUUCCGUUGCACUGCCUAACCAUCGUGGAAAACAGACAUCGACAGCGAUAACGAAGCAAGUAAUGAAAUAACUCUCUCAUCUCGUCUCAGUGGGCCAACCCUCCUGCAGCUAUUUGUCACAAGCAGAUACCAGAGAGAACCAUGACCUCCAAGUGGGCGCCAGUUCUGAUUGGAAACCUGCAGAGCAGAGGGGGCCUGGUCAAGAGGUGAGAGUCGUCCACUCUGACCACCACCAGUCCGCUGCCUUCUCUGUGGCGGCACGUAAAGCCAUAAAGGCCGUCAGGGUUGCGGUUCUCCUGCACGACCAGCAGCAUGGCAGGAGACUGCGGUGACACCAGCUGGCUCAGGCUACCAAUGGCCAAACUCUUUUUCCGAGCUUUCUCCUGAAUGUAGAAACAGCAAUUUUACAUUCACAUAUGCAAAGGCACAGACCGCUUUAAUGUAAAUGGUUCAGAUUCUAAGGCAC